CGCGGUAAUUACGUAGGGUGCGAGCGGUAAUCGGAAUUACUGGGCGUAAAGCGUGCGCAGGCGGUUUCGUAAGACAGACGUGAAAUCCCCGGGCUCAACUGGGAACUGCGUUUGUGACUGCGAGGCUAGAGUACGGCAGAGGGGGGUAGAAUUUCCACGUGUAGCAGUGAAAAUGCGUAGAGAUGUGGAGGAAUACCGAUGGCGAAGGCAGCCCCCCUGGGUUAGUACUGACGCUCAUGCACGAAAGCGUGGGGAGCAAACAGGAUUAGAUACCCUGGUAGUCCACGCCCUAAACGAUGUCAACUAGGUGUUGGAAGGGUUAAACCUUUUAGUACCGCAGCUAACGCGUGAAGUUGACCGCCUGGGGAGUACGGCCGCAAGGUUAAAACUCAAAGGAAUUGACGGGGACCCGCACAAGCGGUGGAUGAUGUGGAUUAAUUCGAUGCAACGCGAAAAACCUUACCUACCCUUGACAUGCCAGGAACUUUCCAGAGAUGGAUUGGUGCCCGAAAGGGAGCCUGGACACAGGUGCUGCAUGGCUGUCGUCAGCUCGUGUCGUGAGAUGUUGGGUUAAGUCCCGCAACGAGCGCAACCCUUGUCAUUAAUUGCCAUCAUUUAGUUGGGCACUUUAAUGAGACUGCCGGUGACAAACCGGAGGAAGGUGGGGAUGACGUCAAGUCCUCAUGGCCCUUAUGGGUAGGGCUUCACACGUCAUACAAUGGUCGGUACAGAGGGUUGCCAAGCCGCGAGGUGGAGCCAAUCCCAGAAAGCCGAUCGUAGUCCGGAUCGCAGUCUGCAACUCGACUGCGUGAAGUCGGAAUCGCUAGUAAUCGCGGAUCAGCAUGUCGCGGUGAAUGCGUUCCCGGGUCUUGUACACACCGCCCGUCACACCAUGGGAGUGGGUUCUACCAGAAGU
RNAcentral lists this ribosomal RNA (916 nucleotides) under uncultured bacterium. RNAcentral describes it as "bacterial SSU rRNA". It matches the Rfam family "Bacterial small subunit ribosomal RNA", at positions 516 to 1427 of the family's 1533-position model. The record is from RNAcentral.